Molecule: ribosomal RNA, 526 nt
Filed under: uncultured marine eukaryote
Lineage: Eukaryota
Description: SSU rRNA
Rfam family: Eukaryotic small subunit ribosomal RNA
Source: RNAcentral
AGAUUAAGCCAUGCAUGUCCAAGUACAAGCCUCACUAAGGUGAAACCGCGAAUGGCUCAUUAAAUCACACCUAAUCUACUGGAUAGUUAACAGGUACUUGGAUACCUGCGGUAAUUCUGGAGCUAAUACAUGCGAAAAGCCUCGAACUUACGUGAGAGGCGCUUUUAUUAGAUCAAAACCAAUCGGCUUCGGCUGUACUCUUGGUGACUCUGAAUAACUUUGGGCUGAUCGUAUAGCCUUGCGCUGACGACAUAUCCUUCGAAGGUGUGCCCUAUCAACUGUCGACUGUGGCAUAGACGCCCACAGUGGUUUUGACGGGUAACGGGGAAUCAGGGUUCGAUUCCGGAGAGGGAGCCUUAAAAACGGCUACCACAUCUAAGGAAGGCAGCAGGCACGCAAAUUACCCAAUGAUCGAAGAUCGAGGUAGUGACGAAAAAUAACGAUCCAGGACUCAUCCGAGGCCCUGGAAUCGGAAUGAGUACACUUUAAAACCGUCCCCGAGGAUCUAUUGGAGGGCAAGUCUGGU